GUGCGAGACCGAUAGCGAACAAGUACCGUGAGGGAAAGAUGAAAAGAACUUUGAAAAGAGAGUUAAAGAGUACCUGAAACUGCUGAAAGGGAACCGAAUCGUUUCCAGUGUCUAUAAUCCGUGGUAUAUUUCAUUGGCGAGUGUGUGCGUGCGUGUGCUGUGGCAGCGGCUUUUUAGGCUGCGCUCGGCGUGUGUGCUGUGUGUGCUUGCUGGUGCCCUGUACUGCGGUGGGACGUCAAGGUCAGUUCGUAUGCUGCGGGAAAUGGCUGCCGAGGAGGUAGGGCUUACGCUUGCGUUUGUCUGUUAUAUCUUGGUGGACGAGUAGUCGCGGUUGGGACUGAGGUGCCUACAACGUGCUUUUGAGUGGGUUUGUGUCUCCGUGUGCGCCGUGUGCGGAUAGCUUGCUAUGCGUGUGUGGUUGUGUGUGGAUUGAUGCGGGCCUUAACUUGUUGCUGUUCGGGACUUUGA
This 468-nucleotide ribosomal RNA is filed under the name uncultured Oomycota. RNAcentral's name for it is "LSU rRNA". The stretch from base 1 to 83 matches the Rfam family "Bacterial large subunit ribosomal RNA", at positions 476 to 559 of the family's 2925-position model. The record is from RNAcentral. Lineage: Eukaryota; Oomycota.